Molecule: ribosomal RNA, 458 nt
Filed under: Streptococcus intermedius
Lineage: Bacteria; Bacillati; Bacillota; Bacilli; Lactobacillales; Streptococcaceae
Description: bacterial SSU rRNA
Rfam family: Bacterial small subunit ribosomal RNA
Source: RNAcentral
GACGAACGCUGGCGGCGUGCCUAAUACAUGCAAGUAGAACGCACAGGAUGCACCGUAGUUUACUACACCGUAUUCUGUGAGUUGCGAACGGGUGAGUAACGCGUAGGUAACCUGCCUGGUAGCGGGGGAUAACUAUUGGAAACGAUAGCUAAUACCGCAUAAGAACAUUUACUGCAUGGUAGAGGUUUAAAAGGUGCAAAUGCAUCACUACCAGAUGGACCUGCGUUGUAUUAGCUAGUAGGUGAGGUAACGGCUCACCUAGGCGACGAUACAUAGCCGACCUGAGAGGGUGAUCGGCCACACUGGGACUGAGACACGGCCCAGACUCCUACGGGAGGCAGCAGUAGGGAAUCUUCGGCAAUGGGGGGAACCCUGACCGAGCAACGCCGCGUGAGUGAAGAAGGUUUUCGGAUCGUAAAGCUCUGUUGUUAAGGAAGAACGAGUGUGAGAAUGGAAAG